This 255-nucleotide ribosomal RNA is filed under the name uncultured bacterium. RNAcentral describes it as "partial 16S ribosomal RNA". It matches the Rfam family "Bacterial small subunit ribosomal RNA", at positions 524 to 776 of the family's 1533-position model. The record is from RNAcentral.
GACGAACCGUGCGAACGUUGUUCGGAAUCACUGGGCUUAAAGGGCGCGUAGGCGGACUGCCAAGUCCGGGGUGAAAUCUUUCGGCUCAACCGGAAAAUAGCCUCGGAGACUGGCGGUCUGGGAGGGGGGGUAGGGGCAGCUGGAACUUCCGGUGGAGCGGUGAAAUGCGUUGAUAUCGGAAGGAACGCCGGUGGCGAAAGCGAGCUGCUGGACCUUUUCUGACGCUGAGGCGCGAAAGCCAGGGGAGCAAAUGGG